Molecule: ribosomal RNA, 369 nt
Filed under: uncultured bacterium
Lineage: Bacteria
Description: bacterial SSU rRNA
Rfam family: Bacterial small subunit ribosomal RNA
Source: RNAcentral
ACGUAGGGGGCAAGCGUUGUUCGGAAUUACUGGGCGUAAAGGGCAUGUAGGCGGUCUUAUAAGCCUGGCGUGAAAGGCUGCAGCUCAACUGUAGCACUGCGUUAGGAACUGUUAGACUUGAGUUAUGGAGAGGGAGUUAGAAUUCCAGGUGUAGGGGUGAAAUCUGUAGAGAUCUGGAAGAAUACCGGUGGCGAAGGCGAACUCCUGGCCAAUGACUGACGCUGAGGUGCGAAAGUGUGGGGAUCAAACAGGAUUAGAUACCCUGGUAGUCCACACUGUAAACGAUGUGCACUAGGUGCUGGGGCGGAUGUCUCAGUGCCGGAGCUAACGCGGUAAGUGCACCGCCUGGGGAGUAUGCUCGCAGGGGUG